RNAcentral lists this long non-coding RNA (1479 nucleotides) under Androctonus crassicauda. Lineage: Eukaryota; Metazoa; Arthropoda; Arachnida; Scorpiones; Buthidae. The record is from RNAcentral.
AAAACCGAUUCCUAAAAUAUUUCUAACAGAUAAAUAGAAAAGAAUUAAAAGAAAAACCCCAGCAAAACGAUUUCUUAUCUUUUAAAAAUGUUCGAUGCUUAAAAGAAAUAUUUAGGUCGAUGAACUGGGACGAGUAUACAUGUCUUGUAAAUAUAAUAAUUGCCAUCAAAUGAGGCUAGUCCGAUAAGCCAGAAUACCAACCGCGCAAAUUCGAUUAUCCGGUAUCUAGCAUCCCAGAUAAGCCAUCGAAUUUUAUUAGAUUGAUACUUAAAUGGAUCGACAUUUAUUCAGUCAAUGACGGAUUUAGCCCGAGUGAGACUUUCCCCCAGUACCUUCUCGCCACUCACCCAUUUUACCAGUUAAAUGGGCCGUCUGCCCAGCCACGCAGCUGGAAAGACACCGACUAUACGUACCUAUAAUUGGCGGCAGAGUGGCAACGCUGUCGGCCCGCCAGGCCUGAGAACCCGGGUCUGGUAGCUCCCGGAAAGUUUUUUUCGGGCGCUGGCCCGGCCCAUCCCCGUCCUUCACCAUCCGACCCCCUUCCACGGGUGCCAGUGCAGCUGGUGGUUAGAACCGACACCGCCCCUUAGUAAUCUCACCGAUUGGAAAGAGGCGUAAAAUAUGCAAAACAAAAAAGGACACCUAUAAUUUAAAACAGAUUAAUUAUUUAUACAAUUAACCAUUGAAUUAUUGUUUGUUUCGAUUCGAUGACUUUUUAAUUUAUACCGAUUUGGAGAAAAAUAGUUAAUGGUAUGACUCAUGGAUGGAGGUAUAAUGCCGAAAGAGAAACUGGAUACCGACUGGUAAUUUUCAAUAUUGCUUAGUUCCAAUGUUUAUAACGUAUCCGAUUUUUCACCCGGUCGGGUUUUAAUGACCAGAAAAUUGACGAAAAAACUGAGAAUAAUUUUGCAUUAAUACCUGUUACCAUAUUUAAAAAUGGAUAAAUGAGAAGAUGGGUUAUUUAUGCAGAAAUUGUCCAUUUCGUAAGUAAAACGUCCCGCACCUGACCAACAUGGUGGCUCCAGAGAAAGAAAAAUCGUUAACGCAUUUACCGGAAUGCCACGAGUAUCGAAUAUCAAAAGUUGCGUGUGAUGGUGACCAUGGACAAAAUGGAGUUACUCGACCAACCUUGGCCUAUGGAAACACAGAAAUGUUUUUCAUUUACACACGUUGGGAGAUUUUUUCUUCUUUAAACGAAUUUUGUGCAGCUUUCGUUUGGUCGGCUCGAUAUGGAACUGCACCAAAUUUCUAUGUUUUUCCAUAGAAGAAAGCGUCGAAAGAAAAAUAAAACGUGGCAUAAAUAUCUUACGCAACAAAAUAUAUUUUUCUGUUCUAUCGGCAUCGGUUAUCGAUGCAAUUAUGUUCGAAUGAAACCUUUCAGAUAACAUCGCCAACACAAUUUGGUUCUCGGCCAAAAAACAAAAAGAAUUAAAUAACUUCUUUAGAAGAGUAAAAGCGGCCUGUUUAACGGGCUUCGAA